CCUACGGGAGGCAGCAGUGGGGGAUAUUGCACAAUGGGGGAAACCCUGAUGCAGCGACGCCGCGUGUGGGAAGACGGUCCUCUGGAUUGUAAACCACUGUCCCCAGGGACGAAGAUGACGCUACCUGGGGAGGAAGCUCCGGCUAACUACGUGCGAGCAGCCGCGGUAAUACGUAGGGAGCGAGCGUUGUCCGGAAUUACUGGGGGAAAAGGGAGCGUAGGCGGGGAUGCAAGUUGGGGGUCAAAACUCCCGGCUCAACUGGUAGUCGCACUCAAAACUGCAGCUCUUGAGUGAAGUAGAGGCAGGCGGAAUUCCUAGUGUAGCGGUGAAAUGCGUAGAUAUUAGGAGGAACACCAGUGGCGAAGGCGGCCUGCUGGGCUUUUACUGACGCUGAGGCUCGAAAGUGUGGGGAGCAAACAGGAUUAGAUACCCGAGUAGUC
This 440-nucleotide ribosomal RNA is filed under the name uncultured bacterium. Its description in RNAcentral is "partial 16S ribosomal RNA". It matches the Rfam family "Bacterial small subunit ribosomal RNA", at positions 338 to 795 of the family's 1533-position model. The record is from RNAcentral.